UCAGAGGGAGGUAGAAUUNCACGUGUAGCAGUGAAAUGCGUAGAGAUGUGGAGGAAUACCGAUGGCGAAGGCAGCCUCCUGGGAUAACACUGACGUUCAUGCUCGAAAGCGUGGGUAGCAANCAGGAUUAGAUACCCUGGUAGUCCACGCCCUAAACGAUGUCAAUUAGCUGUUGGGCAACUCGAUUGCUUAGUAGCGUAGCUAACGCGUGAAAUUGACCGCCUGGGGAGUACGGUCGCAAGAUUAAAACUCAAAGGAAUUGACGGGGACCCGCACAAGCGGUGGAUGAUGUGGAUUAAUUCGAUGCAACGCGAAGAACCUUACCUGGUCUUGACAUGUACGGAAUCCUCCAGAGACGGAGGAGUGCCUUCGGGAGCCGUAACACAGGUGCUGCAUGGCUGUCGUCAGCUCGUGUCGUGAGAUGUUGGGUUAAGUCCCGCAACGAGCGCAACCCUUGUCAUUAGUUGCCAUCAUUUAGUUGGGCACUCUAAUGAGACUGCCGGUGACAAGCCGGAGGAAGGUGGGGAUGACGUCAAGUCCUCAUGGCCCUUAUGACCAGGGCUUCACACGUCAUACAAUGGUCGGUACAGAGAGUAGCCAAGCCGCGAGGUGGAGCCAAUCUCACAAAACCGAUCGUAGUCCGGAUUGCACUCUGCAACUCGAGUGCAUGAAGUCGGAAUCGCUAGUAAUCGCAGGUCAGCAUACUGCGGUGAAUACGUUCCCGGGUCUUGUACACACCGCCCGUCACACCAUGGGAGUGGGGGAUACCAGAAGUAGGUAGGGUAACCGCAAGGAGCCCGCUU
RNAcentral lists this ribosomal RNA (803 nucleotides) under uncultured bacterium. Its description in RNAcentral is "bacterial SSU rRNA". It matches the Rfam family "Bacterial small subunit ribosomal RNA", at positions 651 to 1455 of the family's 1533-position model. The record is from RNAcentral.